UGUGGGAUAUUUUCUGAUUGCAGGUGACGUUCCCUUAGUGUACGUUUUGUAUGUGUUGUUUUCUACUUUUCUCGAUCGUCCUAUAAUACCUAUUGAUUACAAGUGGACCAUAAUCACUCCUAAUUUACCCUUCUAGUGCAGAUUAAGGUUUGAGUGUGCCCACGUUGCUCGACUCGGAUGAUUAUUGGAGCUUUCAAGGUAGUGGAUGAUCUUCAGG
RNAcentral lists this long non-coding RNA (217 nucleotides) under Capsicum annuum. Its description in RNAcentral is "long non-coding RNA (CANN_LNC004778)". The record is from RNAcentral. Lineage: Eukaryota; Viridiplantae; Streptophyta; Magnoliopsida; Solanales; Solanaceae.